Molecule: long non-coding RNA, 935 nt
Filed under: Calidris pugnax (ruff)
Lineage: Eukaryota; Metazoa; Chordata; Aves; Charadriiformes; Scolopacidae
Description: lncRNA (ENSCPUG00000008588.1)
Source: RNAcentral
AGGGUCCCUGGUCCCCGAGCCGUCCCGGGGGGGGCUGGGGGGUGACAGGGUGUCAGUGCAGGGGUGUGCAGGGGUGUGUGGGGAUGUCUGAGGGUCCCUGGGGGUGUGUGGGGGUGUCCCCGGGGGUGUCUGAGGGUGCCCCCCCAGGUGUACAGCGCGGACGGGGAGUUCCUGUUCAAGUUCGGGUCGCACGGGGAGGGGAACGGGCAGUUCAACGCCCCCACGGGGGUGGCCGUCGACGGCAACGGGAACAUCAUCGUGGCCGAUUGGGGCAACAGCCGCAUCCAGGUGUUUGACAGCGCGGGCUCCUUCCUGUCCUACAUCAACACGGCGGCGGAGCCGCUCUACGGCCCCCAGGGGCUGGCGCUGACCUCGGACGGGCACGUGGUGGUGGCCGAUUCGGGGAACCACUGCUUCAAGGCCUAUCGCUACCUGCAGUAGCCACGGGGACCCCCACGGCUGCCCCACGGCCGCCCCACGGCCACCCCAUGGACACGGCCACCCCAUGGACACCCCACGGCCACCCCAUGGACAUGGACACCCCAUGGACACCCCACGGCCGCCCCAUGGACACGGCCGACCCACAGACACAGCCGCCCCACGGCCACCCCACGGCCGCCCCACAGACACCCCACGGACACUGCUGCCCCAUGGACACGGCCAAACCCCAGGCACGGCCGCCCCAUGGAAACAGCCAACCCACGGCUGCCCCACGGACACGGCCACCCCACAGACACCGGACGGACACAGCCGACCCACGGACACCCCACAGACACAGCCACCCCACAGACACAGCUAACCCAUGGACACGGCUGCCCCCCAAGUGCUGCCCCCCAAGUGCCGCCCCACAGCCACGGCCGCCCCCCCGAGCGCCACCCCGGCUUCACGUGCACUUUAUCGGGGGGGGGCCAGGCCCAGAGGGGGGCGAGGAGGGG